Molecule: non-coding RNA, 171 nt
Filed under: uncultured Gemmiger sp.
Lineage: Bacteria; Bacillati; Bacillota; Clostridia; Eubacteriales; Oscillospiraceae
Source: RNAcentral
GCGGUUCCGCCGCACAGAAAAGGGUAAAAGGGAAGCGGGCGCAAAUCCCGCACGAUCUCGUCACUGUGAUAAGGGAACCUGCCGCCAGGGUGCGUUUGCACCGGUCACUGGGCAUCAGCCCGGGAAGGCGGCGGUGGGUGUUGAUCUUUCAGCCAGGAAACCUGCCUGCUG